UACGUAGGUGACAAGCGUUGUCCGGAUUUACUGGGCGUAAAGAGCGCGCAGGCGGUCGUUCAAGUCGAGUGUGAAAGCCCCCGGCUCAACUGGGGAGGGUCACUCGAUACUGAUCGACUCGAAGGCAGGAGAGGGAAGUGGAAUUCCCGGUGUAGUGGUGAAAUGCGUAGAUAUCGGGAGGAACACCAGUGGCGAAGGCGACUUCCUGGCCUGUUCUUGACGCUGAGGCGCGAAAGCGUGGGGAUCAAACAGG
This 253-nucleotide ribosomal RNA is filed under the name uncultured bacterium. RNAcentral describes it as "partial 16S ribosomal RNA". It matches the Rfam family "Bacterial small subunit ribosomal RNA", at positions 524 to 776 of the family's 1533-position model. The record is from RNAcentral.